UCACGGGGGCGAGCACACAUGAGUCUCAUGAACGCGCAAGGGAUUACAGGAAAGUUUGAGCACGUCAGUUUUUUUUGUUGUUCGUUGUUUGCUUUAUCGACUGUGUUUUUGUAUCUGUUGUUAUUUUUGUAAGGAGAAAAGUGGUGUGCCUGAAAGUGACCAGCAAGCAAAUAUUGCUCUCAGCAGAUCUAGCUAGAUACUUCUUCAGCUUGUGAAUCUGAAAUCAAUCACCAUGACAUCUAUUCCCAUGACAGCAACAGAGAUGAGUCCUACAACAGCACUUCCCAGUCAUACGGACUCCUCUACCGUCAUUGGAAUGGUCAUCGUGCUUGUACUGCUGACGCUAGCUGGCCUGGGUUUCCUUCUGUACCGGUACUUGUGCCACAACAAGGGUGCCUACAGAACCACAGGAGAACCGGCCCCGGGGGAGGACCGUGAUCUGGCCCACGGUGACAUCGUAACUGAUGAAAAGAAGGAGUAUUUCAUUUGAACUUGAUGACAAGUAGGAAUGUGAGAACUGUGGGUGGGUGUUUAACAAAAUCUUCUCUGCCAAACUGACAGGAAAUAGGAAAAUGACAAUCUUUGAUGGACAUCUACGGUAUAUCUGCGGAAUUGAAAACCUACAUAGAUUUUACCCAAGAAAACACUCACGUAUAGGCACAUAAGCUGGGAAAGAGAUGAGAUUAAUUAGUAAAAGUGUGUGUUCAAGCUGAUGGGUUCACAACUUAAGUUGUGUGCAAGGUAAGAGAACUGUGUUUAACACUGGUGGAUGGAGGACUUAAUGAGCUUCUUGUGGGGAAAUGUCUAAGAUGGCAUCAUAUAAAUAUGCCUUCAUCUGUGUCAUCACAUUUAGUUAUCAAUCUGCUCCCCAUGUGUCAACUCUGAAGGCUUUUACAUUUUCUGUAUUUUCUGAUUGAAGGGUUUAAAAAAUAAAUAUCCUGGGGGCUAAAUGGGGAAAUUGUAUUUGUUGAUCAGUAGAAGGCACUGAUUUAUUUUAUGUCAUUAUACAAUAAUUUACCAGUUGUUCAAAACUGGGCAGCUAAACGGGAAAUGUUAUUUUGUAUCGGUUACUAUUACCAAAUACACCAUCUUGUGUUUGUAUGAUCUUACUGAAGUAUCUUAAGGUAGUAAGUGGCAUGACAGACCUCAAUUUGAGACUGCAGGUCUGACAUGGCAAUAAAGCUUGUUUCUUUUGAAUCA
Long non-coding RNA from Coregonus clupeaformis (lake whitefish), 1200 nucleotides. RefSeq lists it as uncharacterized. NCBI's taxonomy places the organism in Eukaryota, Metazoa, Chordata, Actinopteri, Salmoniformes, Salmonidae. The record is from RefSeq and is a predicted model, not a curated record. The transcript has 4 exons.